RNAcentral lists this ribosomal RNA (498 nucleotides) under uncultured bacterium. Its description in RNAcentral is "partial 16S ribosomal RNA". It matches the Rfam family "Bacterial small subunit ribosomal RNA", at positions 28 to 508 of the family's 1533-position model. The record is from RNAcentral.
GACGAACGCUGGCGGCGUGCCUAAUACAUGCAAGUUGAGCGAUGAAGAUUGGUGCUUGCACCAAUUUGAAGAGCAGCGAACGGGUGAGUAACGCGUGGGGAAUCUGCCUUUGAGCGGGGGACAACAUUUGGAAACGAAUGCUAAUACCGCAUAACAACUUUAAACAUAAGUUUUAAGUUUGAAAGAUGCAAUUGCAUCACUCAAAGAUGAUCCCGCGUUGUAUUAGCUAGUUGGUGAGGUAAAGGCUCACCAAGGCGAUGAUACAUAGCCGACCUGAGAGGGUGAUCGGCCACAUUGGGACUGAGACACGGCCCAAACUCCCACGGGAGGCAGCAGUAGGGGAUCUUCGGCAAUAGACGAAAGUCUGACCGAGCAACGCCGCGUGAGUGAAGAAGGUUUUCGGAUCGUAAAACUCUGUUGGUAGAGAAGAACGUUGGUGAGAGUGGAAAGCUCAUCAAGUGACGGUAACUACCCAGAAAGGGACGGCUAACUACGUGC